This 253-nucleotide ribosomal RNA is filed under the name uncultured bacterium. RNAcentral describes it as "partial 16S ribosomal RNA". It matches the Rfam family "Bacterial small subunit ribosomal RNA", at positions 524 to 776 of the family's 1533-position model. The record is from RNAcentral.
UACGAAGGGGGCUAGCGUUGUUCGGAAUUACUGGGCGUAAAGGGCGCGUAGGCGGCCCCGCGCGUCGAGCGUGAAAGGCCUGGGCUCAACCCAGGAACGGCGCUCGAUACGGCAGGGCUUGAGUGCAGGAGAGGAUGGUGGAAUUCCCAGUGUAGAGGUGAAAUUCGUAGAUAUUGGGAAGAACACCGGUGGCGAAGGCGGCCAUCUGGACUGCAACUGACGCUGAGGCGCGAAAGCGUGGGGAGCAAACAGG